AUUAGAGGAUUAGACCAGAUAUAAAAUUACUUGUUUCCUUAAUUGGAAAACUAGCCAAUCUAAACUGUGAAAAGAUUAGAUGCAGACUAGCGUAGAGGGAACCUUAGGUUUUCAGCUACUCAUUUAAAUAAGUAUUUAAACUAAUGAAAAAUGGCGAACAUUUAAAAGAAUCAGGAUUAAGCCAAAUUAAUUCAUAUGCAGAGUUCAGAUAAGAAUGAGGGCAAGAAAUAAAAGCUCAAAUGAAUCGAUUUAGAGUUAACUAUAAUUAAUAAAUCUCUUUUCACAGUUUGAUUCUUUUAUUUAUGGUAAGAAUAGAAAUUUAUUUGUUAUGAGAUAGUCCAAGUUUACUUUAAUAGGUAAACAAUAAAGAGCGAAAUUCCUUGGCCGUUAAAUGCGGUCCAGCAUGAACGAUCCCAUGAUACAACAGCUGUCUCCGCGAUAGACUCAGUGAAAUUGGAAUAGCUGUGCAGAUACAGUUUACCCAUAGUCAGACGGGAAGACCCUAUGCAGCUUUACUGUAACUAGUUAUUGCUUGCGAUCGGAUUAGGUUGUAGAGUAUAAGGUAGUCGAUUAGACUAGGGAGAUACCCGGUGAAACACCUUUACCUAAUAGGCCGUAAGCUGGUGGAGAUAUCACUCUACCCUUUUCGCUAAUUUUAUAUAAUUGAGAAAAAUAGCAAAAAGUUAUUUGUUUAAUAAAACAUUGACUUAUAUAAAUAUAGAUUGCUAAUUUAGCAAACUUGAAUAAGAUAAAGUAGCAAUUAUUAGUUUUUUAACAUAAUUGUGACAGUGACUAGCUGGCAGUUUUUGUGGGGCGCAAUUCUCAAAAAAAGUAUCUGAGUAAGUCCGAUUAAUUAAAGCCUUCCAUAAUUAUUAGUAAUAAUAAUUAAGCUUAAUUUAAAACAUAAAGGUUUGGUUGAACCCAAUGGAAAUGGGUAGAUGAAUUCUCUAAAAUUUAAACAAGUUAUGACAAAUAUUCCAAUUAGUAAAAGAUGUUUAAAUCAAAAAGAAUUUGGUUGACUACUUUAUAAUUAUAAUAGUCGAUUAAGCAUAAUCUAACUACAAGUGUAAUGGCAUAACCAAGCCUAACUGCGAGACCUACAAGUCGAGCAGACACGUAAGUGGGGCAUAGUGACCAGAUGGUUCAUCAUGGAAUGGCCAUCGUUUAACGAAUAAAGUUACGCUAGGGAUAACAGGCUAAUGGCGCAAGAGAGUCCAUAUUGGCCGCGCAGUUUGGCACCUCGAUGUCGACUCGACCUAUCCUCCCGGUGUAGGUGCUGGGAAGGGUUCGGCUGUUCGCCGAGUAAAAGGUCACGCGAGUUGGGUUAAGUACGUCGUGAGACAGUACGGUCCCUAUCUUCUAUGGGAAAUUAGAGUCGAAAAAGGAUCUGUCCUUUGUACGCAAGGAUUUGGAUGGACUAACCUCUUGUUUACCUGUUGUUUAUUUUAAUAUAAUCUUAUUAUAUUUAGAAUUCUAUUAAAACUAAUU
This 1488-nucleotide ribosomal RNA is filed under the name Taphrina wiesneri JCM 22204. RNAcentral's name for it is "16S ribosomal RNA". The stretch from base 458 to 1488 matches the Rfam family "Bacterial large subunit ribosomal RNA", at positions 2046 to 2732 of the family's 2925-position model. The record is from RNAcentral. Lineage: Eukaryota; Fungi; Ascomycota; Taphrinomycetes; Taphrinales; Taphrinaceae.